Molecule: ribosomal RNA, 382 nt
Filed under: uncultured bacterium
Lineage: Bacteria
Description: bacterial SSU rRNA
Rfam family: Bacterial small subunit ribosomal RNA
Source: RNAcentral
GACGAACGCUGGCGGCGUGCUUAACACAUGCAAGUCGAACGAUGAAGCCUUCGGGUGGAUUAGUGGCGAACGGGUGAGUAACACGUGGGUAAUCUGCCCUGCACUCUGGGAUAAGCCUUGGAAACGAGGUCUAAUACCGGAUAUCACAAUCUCUCGCAUGGGGGGUUGUUGAAAGUUCUGGCGGUGCAGGAUGAACCCGCGGCCUAUCAGCUUGUUGGUGGGGUAGUGGCCACCAAGGCGACGACGGGUAGCCGGCCUGAGAGGGUGACCGGCCACACUGGGACUGAGACACGGCCCAGACUCCUACGGGAGGCAGCAGUGGGGAAUAUUGCACAAUGGGCGAAAGCCUGAUGCAGCGACGCCGCGUGAGGGAUGACGGCCU